AUUGAACGCUGGCGGAAUGCUUUACACAUGCAAGUCGAGCGGCAGCGCGGGGCAACCUGGCGGCGAGCGGCGAACGGGUGAGUAGUGUAUCGGAACGUACCCAGUCGUGGGGGAUAACUAUCCGAAAGGAUAGCUAAUACCGCAUACGUCCUGAGGGAGAAAGCGGGGGAUCGCAAGACCUCGCGCGAUUGGAGCGGCCGAUAUCGGAUUAGCUAGUUGGUGAGGUAAAGGCUCACCAAGGCGACGAUCCGUAGCUGGUCUGAGAGGACGACCAGCCACACUGGAACUGAGACACGGUCCAGACUCCUACGGGAGGCAGCAGUGGGGAAUUUUGGACAAUGGGGGCAACCCUGAUCCAGCCAUUCCGCGUGAGUGAAGAAGGCCUCGGUUGUAAGACUCUUUCGGUCAGGAACGAAACGGACGUCUCUCUAACAUAGGGGCGUAA
This 445-nucleotide ribosomal RNA is filed under the name uncultured bacterium. Its description in RNAcentral is "bacterial SSU rRNA". It matches the Rfam family "Bacterial small subunit ribosomal RNA", at positions 29 to 477 of the family's 1533-position model. The record is from RNAcentral.